This 264-nucleotide long non-coding RNA is filed under the name Physcomitrium patens. Its description in RNAcentral is "long non-coding RNA (PPAT_LNC001116)". The record is from RNAcentral. Lineage: Eukaryota; Viridiplantae; Streptophyta; Bryopsida; Funariales; Funariaceae.
UUAGGAUUUGAUUUAGGAUUUAGUAUUUGUCUAGGAUUUGCUUUAGGAUUUAAGGUUUGUUUAAGAUUUGAUUUAGAGUCUAGGAUUUUAUCUAAGAUUUGGUUUAGAAUUUAGAAUUUAUCUAGGAUUUGAUUUAUGUUUUGGUUUAGAGUUUAGGAUUUAGGAUUUGUCCAGGGUUUGAUUUAUUUUUUGGUUUAAAAUUUAGGAUUUAAGAUUUCUCUAGGAUUUGAUUGAAAUCUAUUAGAAUUUUAAUUAAGAUGAAAU